Molecule: ribosomal RNA, 433 nt
Filed under: uncultured bacterium
Lineage: Bacteria
Description: partial 16S ribosomal RNA
Rfam family: Bacterial small subunit ribosomal RNA
Source: RNAcentral
AGCGAACGCUGGCGGCAGGCCUAACACAUGCAAGUCGAACGAACUCUUCGGAGUUAGUGGCGGACGGGUGAGUAACACGUGGGAACGUGCCUUUAGGUUCGGAAUAACUCAGGGAAACUUGUGCUAAUACCGAAUGUGCCCUUCGGGGGAAAGAUUUAUCGCCUUUAGAGCGGCCCGCGUCUGAUUAGCUAGUUGGUGAGGUAAAGGCUCACCAAGGCGACGAUCAGUAGCUGGUCUGAGAGGAUGCUCAGCCACAUUGGGACUGAGACACGGCCCAAACUCCUACGGGAGGCAGCAGUGGGGAAUCUUGCGCAAUGGGCGAAAGCCUGACGCAGCCAUGCCGCGUGAAUGAUGAAGGUCUUAGGAUUGUAAAAUUCUUUCACCGGGGACGAUAAUGACGGUACCCGGAGAAGAAGCCCCGGCUAACUUCGUG